Lathyrus oleraceus (garden pea) is the source of this 317-nucleotide long non-coding RNA. RefSeq lists it as uncharacterized. The transcript has 2 exons. The record is from RefSeq and is a predicted model, not a curated record. Lineage: Eukaryota; Viridiplantae; Streptophyta; Magnoliopsida; Fabales; Fabaceae.
UUCAAUCCAUUGCAAUUACAAUUGAGAGAGAGCUAGAACCACUUGAUGCUAGAGCUCCAUUGCAAUUACAAUUGAGAGAGAGCUAGAACCACUUGAUGCUAGAGCUCGAACCAGAUUAGUCGGUCUAUUGGACCGGCAACCAACACAUUGUGCUUGUGAGAUAAUGAAAAAGGAUAGUUUGCUGGAGACUGACUGCUACAUGUGAGAAAGGAACAAAACACCACAAGGAGAGGAAUCAAUUUCAUGCCAUACAUGUGCUAGACGAAUGCUACAAUCAUGAUAUAAGUUAAUUCAAAAAAUAUAUAAUUUUCUUCUUA